GUCCACGCCCUAAACUAUGAGAACUAAAUAUUGCACUUUGUGCAGUCUAUGAAGCUAACGCGUUAAGUUCUCCGCCUGGGUAGUAAAGACGCAAGUUCGAAACUUAAAGGAAUUGACGGGAACCCCGCACAAGCGGUGGAACAUGUGGUUUAAUUCGAAGGCACACGAAAAACCUUACCAAUCCUUGACAUAUUUAUUGUUAGUUUACUAACAAUAUUUACAGGUGCUGCAUGGCCGUCGU
This 241-nucleotide ribosomal RNA is filed under the name uncultured bacterium. RNAcentral's name for it is "partial 16S ribosomal RNA". It matches the Rfam family "Bacterial small subunit ribosomal RNA", at positions 793 to 1055 of the family's 1533-position model. The record is from RNAcentral.